RNAcentral lists this ribosomal RNA (434 nucleotides) under uncultured archaeon. RNAcentral's name for it is "bacterial SSU rRNA". It matches the Rfam family "Archaeal small subunit ribosomal RNA", at positions 19 to 458 of the family's 1478-position model. The record is from RNAcentral.
GGACCUGACUGCUAUCGGAUUGAUACUAAGCCAUGCAAGUCUUUGUAGUAAUACAAGGCAUACUGCUCAGUAACGCGUAGUCAACCUAACCUAUGGACGGGAAUAACCUCGGGAAACUGAGAAUAAUGCCCGAUAGAACAUUAUGCCUGGAAUGGUUUAUGUUCCAAAUGAUUUAUCGCCGUAGGAUGGGACUGCGGCCUAUCAGUUUGUUGGUGAGGUAAUGGCCCACCAAGACUAUUACAGGUACGGGCUCUGAGAGGAGUAGCCCGGAGAUGGGUACUGAGACACGGACCCAGGCCCUAUGGGGCGCAGCAGGCGAGAAAACUUUGCAAUGUGCGAAAGCACGACAAGGUUAAUCCGAGUGGUUUCUGCUAAAGAAACCUUUUGUCAGUCCUAGAAACACUGAUGAAUAAGGGGUGGGCAAGUUCUGGUGU